AUUUGUUUCCCCAGCCAUAUCCUGCAAAUGAGAGUUCUAAACUUGUCUCUGAGAGGGUGGAUGACUAUGAACAUGCAGCCAAGUACAUGAAGAACAGUCAAGUAAAGUUACCUUUGGGAACCUUAAGUAAAUCAGAAUGGGAAGCUACAAGUAUUUACUUGGUGUUUGCCUUUGAGAACAGCAGUGAGCACAGGCAGUAGUCCCAGAGGGGCCAUGUUCUGCCUGCACGGAUGUGAACAACUCAUCUCGAUAUAUUUGACAUUUCUCUGUCUGUUGAUUUUAAUUCUAAAUGUGCAGGAUGCUGCCAGAAACUGCAGUGCAGAAAUUCAGCAUUUGCUGUCUGUGACAGAUGAACUUUUGCAUGUGUAUAUAAGAAUGAAUUGGGACCUCUGUCUUAAAAAAUCUAUUUUUAGGUAAUGUUCUAAGAAUUCCAUUUGCCUCUAUGAUCUUAGCUCAUACAAAUAUAAUAUGACUUGUUAAAGCAACUAAACUCUUUCCUCAGUGCUCAGAUUUGUCCUGUGUGCGUCUACAGUAUUCAAUUUAUUGCAGUUGUAGAAUUGGUCAGAGAGCAUUUUCAUAGUAUGUUCAUUUCUAUGGUUUUGUUAUAUAGCAUUUUUCAAGAUUUAAUGGUCUGUACAGUUGAAUGUAAGUGUUCAAUAUGUAUUGUUCAAGUUAAAAGUUUAGAACUCAAUUUCAGAUGUUCAUGAAAGUUGCUUAGCUGAAAUUUUAGCAAUGUAUUGCAUUUUGAAAUAAUCAUUAACAUGCCACAAUUCAGGAGCUGGUUAGAACAUUUUAAGUGGCAGCAUAGAAUUUUGGAAUUUGGGGGCUUUCUUUUGAGAAUUUACUACCACAGCAAUUAAUGUUUCCAGUUACCAAGAUUGUGAUUAGACACAUUUACCUUUCUUCAUUGAACAAAUGGUGCCAUAGUUAUUUUUCUCAAAAUUUAGUGAAAAUCCCUCCCAUGUAAACAUGUUGCACAUUUUUUCCAAAUUUAUAGAUAGAACUGCAUUAGGAAUAUUCUCACCAACUGAUGCUGUGUACCCACUUCAGCCCAGAAAUAAGCAAUACCUGUUCUUCUGUUACAGCCUCAGCACUUUGCACCAUACGAGCCAUUGUUAAAAUUGUCACUUGUAUAAUUGACUGCUUUUCCAAAA
Macaca mulatta (Rhesus monkey) is the source of this 1154-nucleotide non-coding RNA. NCBI's taxonomy places the organism in Eukaryota, Metazoa, Chordata, Mammalia, Primates, Cercopithecidae. The record is from RefSeq and is a predicted model, not a curated record.